AUGGACAAGUGGAUUCCGGGAACCAUCUCCAUGAAACCUUUAUUCAGACCUCCUAGCACUAAUAUUCAGAGAGUCUCGGAUCUCAUUGACACCGGGAACUGGUCUUGGAAACAGGACCUUAUAAGGACAACUUUUAUCGCCCCAGAUGCAGAUGCUAUUCUUAACAUACCCAUCAGGAGGGGAGGAGGACAAGAUUUCUUUGCUUGGGCCUUUGAACGAUCAGGCAACUACACUGUUAAGUCAGCGUACCGUGCUCUAAUGACUCAUAACGAGCAUCUAGCUCUAGAAGAAGGGACGGCUACAGGUGCCUCAACGGAUGAUAAACAGAUGUGGACAGCCUUAUGGAAACUCAAAGUGAUCCCAAAGGUUCGGGUGUUUUGGUGGAGGGUGUUGAGGGGGAUUCUACCUGAUGAAUGUAUCCUCAAGCACCGCCACAUUUCAGUUCUUGACACUUCUUGUGCUUGGUUUGAUCUCAGACUCCCUCGACUACAUCGAAGUUCGUGGGCUAGGGACAUUCUAUGUGGUGAUCGGAUCAGGGAUGCGGAUCGCCCAAAAAUCAUCACCAUCAUGUGGACGAUCUGGCAUUCUCGCAACCGGAUCAAACAUGAUGAAGAAGGCAGAGACCCAGCAGCUGCGAUGAGAUCUACGCGGGAGGCCCUAGCGCUGCUGGAGCUACCCCGCAAUGAAGCAGCCGUGCUGCCGGGGCAUGGUUGGAAGCCGCCGAAACCAGGUACGAUCAAGAUUUCAUGUGAUGGAGCACUCAAUGUGGCGGAAGGUCGAGGAGGGGCGGGUGGUAUAGCCCGGUCCGUAUCUUCGCUCUUGGGUGCUUGGUGCAAACCGUUCGGCAACAUCUCCGAUCCUCUUAUCAUGGAAGCCCUAUCAAUGCGAGAAGGAACGCUUUUUGCAAAACUUCGAGGCCUAUCGCAUGUGAUAAUGGAGACUGACUGUCAGGAGUUAGUGCAACUCUGGCAUACACGCCACAACUCACGUUCGGUUGUGGCUCCUAUCCUAGAUGAAAUAGGAGAGCUUAGUUGUGAUUUUUCUGUUUUUCAGAUUCAACAUGUAUUAAGGGCUAGCUUCUGGAAUCCCCCAUUGAUCAACAAAAAAGGCUGUUCCAUUAUACCAAAUCUCCGCAGGUCACGUCAGCUUCACACACGCAGUGCAGCAACCAUAUUCCCUCUCGCACCAUGCAUGCAGGAUGCAGCGGCGCACUUGAGACGUGUCACCCCGACGCGCUACGAGGCCUCACAUCUCCGUUCCCUUUGCACCGCCGGCCACACACUACGCGCCACUACCCGAGCAAAUUAG
This 1308-nucleotide ribosomal RNA is filed under the name Triticum aestivum (bread wheat). RNAcentral's name for it is "partial small subunit ribosomal RNA". The record is from RNAcentral. Lineage: Eukaryota; Viridiplantae; Streptophyta; Magnoliopsida; Poales; Poaceae.